UGCUUAGUGGCGACCGGGUGAGUAACACGUAGUUGACCUGCCCCUCAGCGGGGGACAACAGUCCGAAAGGGCUGCUAAUACCGCAUGAGUUUACUCUGAUUAGAAAAGAGUAAAGAAACUUUCGGGGCUGAGGGAGGGGACUGCGGCCCAUCAGGUAGUUGGUGAGGUAACGGCUCACCAAGCCGACGACGGGUAGGGGGCCUGAGAGGGUGACCCCCCACACUGGGACAGACAUACGGCCCAG
This 244-nucleotide ribosomal RNA is filed under the name uncultured bacterium. RNAcentral's name for it is "partial 16S ribosomal RNA". It matches the Rfam family "Bacterial small subunit ribosomal RNA", at positions 89 to 334 of the family's 1533-position model. The record is from RNAcentral.